CUCCCUCUCUCUCCCACAUAACCCGCCUUCCUCCCCUCCACAAAAAAAAGUCGCCUUCCUCGUCCGCCCACUAUUAGGCCCUAUUUUCAAUCGAUCUGUUGGAGAUGAGUUCGAUCCGGCAGCAAAUCCUCGAUCCAUGACUUCAGCAAUAUGGUGGAGAAGCAACCUGUGAACAUCACGUGAUCUCUUUCCAGACUGGAACAGGCUUAUACAAAAAUAACAUCUCUUGGACGGCCUGAGUUUGCGCCCGGCAUCAUAGGUUUGUCGUCAAGCUAUCGAUUCGAUAAAAGGUAAACACAUCGUGUUCCUGUGCACAGCGUUUUGAGCCGCAAUGAUUGAUUAUGUGCAUGGUGGAUAUGGAUGGUGUGUACGUGCAUGUUCAGGCCGAUCUAGGAUGCCUUCUACAUUUGUAUCUUGCUGGACGAUCCUCGUGCAGGACCACAUCGAGAUUGAAUCAAGCCAUCCUGCUUCACUGCAGUUCAGAAGUCGACGAUGCAGACAUAUCUCUAGCGUGCGUUUGUUAACAGUUCAAGCAAUGAUUGAUUAUGUGCAUCGUUGAUAAGGAUGGUGUGUACGUGCAUGUUCAGGCUGGUCAAAGAUGCCUUCUACUUUUGCAUUUUGCCAGACGAACCCUGUGCAGGACCACAUCGAGAUUGUAUCAAGCCAUCCCGCUUCGCCUCAGUUCAGAAGUCAACGCCGCAGACAUAUCUCUGGCGUGUGUUUGUUAACACUUCAAAGAAAGCAAUCUGUCUUACCUAUGUGUAUGUAGACUGGAAUUUCCUGGCCGUCAUGCUUCGCUCUUUCUCUCUCCACAACUCCGGCUCCUUCCUGCUUUACUACUGCUACUAAAUCCAAUGCUCCCAUAGGGUAGGUUUGAUAUGUGCUAUACCAUAGUAUAUUUGUAGGAGUUCCGGUAUUAGUGAGUUUCAGACUCCUGCUACAUAUUCAGAUGAUACUAAUUGUGGUAGGAGUUAUAGUCGAAGAGUAUCAUACUUUAGAAGUUAGCUUAAUUGUAACCACAUACUUGCAAGUUAGGCACACUAAUUCAGUUUGAUCUUUUUUAUAGACAUUUAAAUGAGGUCAGAGGGCUAGCUUCUUACGAUGUCAAACUUUUGUUAUGUUUUUCACUCUCCUCCAAAUUGCACAAUCACUGUUUGGUAUUAAUUUCAUCGCUCCAGAAUUAUUAUAUUAUCUUAUGUUUGCAACCUACCUUCCAAGUUCAAACCACGCUGCAACCAAGCAUCUAUUUGUAUCUCAUAUGGACAGAUCCCUUGAUGGAUAUUGGUUUAUGGCAGUCAUAUUGAUGGUAGUUUAAAGCAAUUCAUUGGGCCACUACCAUGUGAAAUACUCCUGCAUUCCGUGAUGCCCUCGACGAAGUGAUGCCCACUGUAAUGAACACAUGCUACAGUUAUAUGGCUCGGGAUGGACAACAAUCUUGAAGAGUUCACGGAAGAUUCAGGGUACAUGUGGUUGUAUCAGUGAUUACUAGCAUCUUCUUGGGCCUCGAGGAGUGACACCGAAUGUUGGUUCAUGCUAAGAUGAUAUUACUGCUUAGAUUUCCAUUGCAAUGCAUUGAGGAUAAACAUUUUCACAUGAUACAUGCAUUAGCAUGACAUGCACUUGGUUUUAAUUUGGACUAUCAAUUGUUAUGAGUGAUUAGCUAUGUAGAACCAUCCAUGAAAUCACAAAGAGAAGUCAACUCUUUUCUGUAAACUUAUUCCAAAAAAUAGUAGCAUCAUUUAAUGAUUUUGAUAACAGAGUUAGUUUAAAUGGAAAUCAAGGGAAAAUGUAAAAACUAUUCAUGACUGAUUGGUCCUAAUCAUCCUAGAUUUUUUUUAAUAAUAUCCAAGAAUCACAUCCUCGCCAUAUGGCAUAUGCCUCAUAUGAUUUAUGAAUGACCUGCUCGGAUUUCUAUUGUAAUAUUUAUUGUUUGUCAUGGUAGUUUAUAAUACAUACUAAGUACUCUUGAUUACUGUAAGAGCCAUACACCAGCUAACAUAAGCACAAAGUUUUGUUAUUGUAAAGUUAUAAGCUCAUCAUAUUUUAAUCUGAUCAGGUGAAGAAAUACUACUGUGUACAUCAGACUGAUUGUUUUAUUCAGUUAAUAUUCUAUAACUUUUAGUUCACAAUGUGAACUUAUUAUAUGCUACAUACACUUGAAUGCAUUAUUGAACCAAAUUACACAAGAUCUAUAGAAAUAUUAUAAAAAUAUUAAUCGGGUUGGUAGGAAACUACAGUUAUAGAUUUUUUGGUGGCAACUUCUAAAUAUUUUAGUUAGUAAUCAGUU
Triticum aestivum (bread wheat) is the source of this 2287-nucleotide long non-coding RNA. RefSeq lists it as uncharacterized. The transcript has 3 exons. Lineage: Eukaryota; Viridiplantae; Streptophyta; Magnoliopsida; Poales; Poaceae. The record is from RefSeq and is a predicted model, not a curated record.